UACGAAGGGGGCUAGCGUUGUUCGGAAUUACUGGGCGUAAAGCGCACGUAGGCGGAUCGAUCAGUCAGGGGUGAAAUCCCAGGGCUCAACCCUGGAACUGCCUUUGAUACUGUCGAUCUGGAGUAUGGAAGAGGUGAGUGGAAUUCCGAGUGUAGAGGUGAAAUGCGUAGAGAUCCGGAGGAACACCGAAGGCGAAGGCAGUCUCCUGGCAAGUUACUGACGCUCAGGUGCGAAAGCUAGGUGAGCGAACAGG
Molecule: ribosomal RNA, 253 nt
Filed under: uncultured bacterium
Lineage: Bacteria
Description: partial 16S ribosomal RNA
Rfam family: Bacterial small subunit ribosomal RNA
Source: RNAcentral